Molecule: ribosomal RNA, 465 nt
Filed under: uncultured bacterium
Lineage: Bacteria
Description: partial 16S ribosomal RNA
Rfam family: Bacterial small subunit ribosomal RNA
Source: RNAcentral
GACGAACGCUGGCGGCGUGCUUAACACAUGCAAGUCGAACGGAAAGGCCCUGCUUGCAGGGUACUCGAGUGGCGAACGGGUGAGUAACACGUGGGUGAUCUGCCCUGCACUUCGGGAUAAGCCUGGGAAACUGGGUCUAAUACCGGCUAGGAGCCAUUUUUAGUGUGAUGGUUGGAAAGUUUUUUCGGUGUAGGAUGAGCUCGCGGCCUAUCAGCUUGUUGGUGGGGUAAUGGCCUACCAAGGCGGCGACGGGUAGCCGGCCUGAGAGGGUGGACGGCCACAUUGGGACUUAGAGACGGCCCAGACUCCGACGGGAGGCAGCAGUGGGGAAGAUUGCACAAGGGGCGCAAGCCUGAUGCAGAGACGCCGCGUGGGGGAUGACGGCCUUCGGGUUGUAAACUCCUUUCGCUAGGGACGAAGCUUUUUGUGACGGUACCUAGAUAAGAAGCACCGGCUAACUACGUG